This 497-nucleotide ribosomal RNA is filed under the name uncultured bacterium. Its description in RNAcentral is "partial 16S ribosomal RNA". It matches the Rfam family "Bacterial small subunit ribosomal RNA", at positions 28 to 507 of the family's 1533-position model. The record is from RNAcentral.
GAUGAACGCUGGCGGCGUGCCUAAUACAUGCAAGUCGAGCGAACAGACGAUGAGCUUGCUCCUCUGACGUUAGCGGCGGACGGGUGAGUAACACGUGGAUAACCUACCUAUAAGACUGGGAUAACUUCGGGAAACCGGAGCUAAUACCGGAUAAUAUAUUGAACCGCAUGGUUCAAUAGUUAAAGACGGUUUUGCUGUCACUUAUAGAUGGAUCCGCGCCGCAUUAGCUAGUUGGUAAGGUAACGGCUUACCAAGGCAACGAUGCGUAGCCGACCUGAGAGGGUGAUCGGCCACACUGGAACUGAGACACGGUCCAGACUCCUACGGGAGGCAGCAGUAGGGAAUCUUCCGCAAUGGGCGAAAGCCUGACGGAGCCACGCCGCGUGAGUGAUGAAGGUCUUCGGAUCGUAAAACUCUGUUAUUAGGGAAGAACAAAUGUGUAAGUAACUAUGCACGUCUUGACGGUACCUAAUCAGAAAGCAACGGCUAACUACGUG